AAAAUGCACCAGUAAUGGGUUUUCAGAAAGUCUUUGCCUCACGUGACGCUUGGAAAACUUCGGAAAUAUGGGCAAAUGGAGGCAAAAGAAGGACCCCGAAAAGUAAAACACUGUGGGCGUUGAAAACCUGAAAUAAAAAAAGAAUUAAUGCUGCAUCCGCCAGGAGAAACAAAAAGCGCGGUAACGUUUCAGGUCUGUGCCCAUCGAGUGGAUAGACUGGUGUCUGACACAUCCUGGGCAUGAUCUGAGUCUGUGGAUCGGGAACUUGACACGCAGGGAAGUUCAGUUAGAGAGGGAGCCGAGGUGAUGCUUUGCAGUGUUCCAAUUUCCAUGCAAUUUUGGCCUAAGCACAUUCCUCUAACCCUGGACUGAAGACUGCAUUGAGGUCAAGGAUGAGUCUCAGACAAGGAAUAAAAGACUCAUGACUCAGAAAGACUGUGGGUGUCAGUGAGUGGCAAUAGUCUGUUGGCUUGAGGAAUUGAACACCUGCUGCUUCGCAUCUUCCGUUAAUCAGAUGUAAAUUAUAUUAAAAAGUCAUUUAAAUAAUGCUUACUUUUACUUAGAACUUCAAAACACUAUCCUCAUUAUACCCUCCUGUGAAAUAUGGGGUAGAUUUCUUCUGUCAUAAUUAAAUUAAUGCUGGGAUUAUUCCACCUUAAAAAUGAACAGAAAGGCUGUGAAACAUGAAAUGUAUCUGCUACCAAAACCAAGCCUGCCAAUAUACUGGGAUGUAGUAAAUGGGGAGUUGGAUCGGCAGUAGAGUAUUGAAAAUGUAUUGUAAUGCCUUAGAGUGAAGCAUGUUGUCUAGAGAAUUUUAUAUCUAUUACAUAUUCUGUAAAUUGUAAUUUGAGAUGUCUUGCCCUCAGGCUGCAUAUCUGACAUGGGAUGUAUUGACUAAAUAUGAAGACUGUUAGAAUCCCACAUAUUGAACAUCCUUGCAAAAUCUGUCAUAUUCAAGUCAAAAUGGUCUUGUAAUGAUUUUGUUAACAAAUUUUAUGAGUAACAUAUUAAUUUUAAAAAGAAAAGGCAGCACCUUUGCUUAUUAUGUAGAAUGGAAAAGACAAAUAUUGGCAGAACAUGAAAAUAAAGGG
Molecule: non-coding RNA, 1091 nt
Organism: Chiloscyllium plagiosum (whitespotted bambooshark)
Lineage: Eukaryota; Metazoa; Chordata; Chondrichthyes; Orectolobiformes; Hemiscylliidae
Source: RefSeq, a predicted model, not a curated record